AACGUGCCCAGAUCUACGGAAUAGCCACUGGAAACGGUGAGUAAUACCGUAUACGCCCUUCGGGGGAAAGAUUUAUCGGAUUUGGAUCGGCCCGCGUUAGAUUAGGUAGUUGGUGGGGUAACGGCCUACCAAGCCUACGAUCUAUAGCUGGUUUUAGAGGAUGAUCAGCAACACUGGGACUGAGACACGGCCCAGACUCCUACGGGAGGCAGCAGUGGGGAAUCUUGGACAAUGGGGGCAACCCUGAUCCAGCCAUGCCGCGUGAGUGAAGAAGGCCCUAGGGUCGUAAAACUCUUUCGCCUGUGAUGAUAAUGACAGUAGCAGGUAAAGAAACCCCGGCUAACUCCGUGCCAGCAGCCGCGGUAAUACGGAGGGGGUUAGCGU
Molecule: ribosomal RNA, 384 nt
Filed under: uncultured bacterium
Lineage: Bacteria
Description: bacterial SSU rRNA
Rfam family: Bacterial small subunit ribosomal RNA
Source: RNAcentral